This 739-nucleotide ribosomal RNA is filed under the name Fulvoderma scaurum. RNAcentral describes it as "partial small subunit ribosomal RNA". It matches the Rfam family "Bacterial small subunit ribosomal RNA", at positions 364 to 947 of the family's 1533-position model. The record is from RNAcentral. Lineage: Eukaryota; Fungi; Basidiomycota; Agaricomycetes; Hymenochaetales; Hymenochaetaceae.
UUAGUCAAUGCUCGCAAGAGUGAACUAGCUAACUGAAAUCCUUGGUGUGCCAUCGAGGAUAACGUAAGGGAAAAUAAUGAUAUUACCUUACUAUUAGUGUCGUCCAAGUGCUCGUGCCAGAAGACUCGGUAAGGCGAGAGACGCAAACGUUAUUCGUCUUGAUCAGGCGUAAAGGGUUUGUAGGCGGCUUUAAGUAUCUAAUUUUAAGUUUACUGUUUUAAUGCGAAAUUAAAUUAUUCCCAAAUUUUUUGAGGGAUAGGUAUUCUUUUCAAUGGUAAAGAUUAAUUUUUUUUACCUCUGCCCCAACUCCAUCUAAAUAUUUUUAGAUGCGCACCUUUCUCCCUUUAUUGGGGGCCGGAGCGAGAGGCAGGUGAUUAAAUUAAAUUAAUCCUAUUAAUUUAGCAUUUUAAUAUUUAUUAAAAGAUCAAUUAAAGCUAGAAUCUAGCAGAGGUUAAAACAAUACUUAAGGUAGGAGUACUAACCAUAAAUAAUAAGCAGAGUUUUAAGGGCGAAGGCUUUUAUCCACUACAGAUUGACGCUGAGAAACGAAGGUGAGGACAGAAAAAAGGAUUAGAGACCCUUGUAUCCCUCACUGUCAACGAUGAAUGGUAGUUACUAGGGAGAAAUUACCUAGAGACGAUGUUAACACGAAAACCAUUCCGCCUUGUGAGUACGACUGCAAAGUUGAAAACAAAAAAAUUAGUCGGUUUCGGAGCAAACGAAGUGAAGCAUGUUAUUU